AUUAAUCAUUGCAGGUCUACCAUAACCAAAGAUCAAUGAUCCAUUUUUUUCCCAUUCAUAAUCUGCACCAAUGCUAUCAAGGAAUUCUACCACCUUACUUCGAUCUUCGGUUUGAAAAACCUUAAAACAUCAGGUUCUUCAGGAUGUCUCUAUUUCUGAUGAUUACGGUCUCUCCACCACAUCCUGGACCAGCUGGUUUAUCGCAGUAAAACAACAGCUAAUAAAAGAAUCCUAGCUAUUGAUUGAUAAUUCAAGUCCCACUCCAGGGUUUUACUGGAAAUUGAAGGCAGUUUUGCUUGUUGUUGUGCACAUUCACUCGCGGUCGCGUGAUCAGAAAUUCCAACAUCUUUCGCUGAAACGACAAACGGAAAAUUCUCUCUCGGUGGAUUUAGAUUUUUUGGGAAAGUCGAACUGGUUGAGCCAGGGAGAAAUGUAACAUUGUCCUCAUGAUCUACUGUUAUCACUGAGUGUGUUCUAAAAUUUCAUAGAAAAGAAACAAUAA
Dendronephthya gigantea is the source of this 502-nucleotide long non-coding RNA. RefSeq lists it as uncharacterized. The record is from RefSeq and is a predicted model, not a curated record. Lineage: Eukaryota; Metazoa; Cnidaria; Anthozoa; Malacalcyonacea; Nephtheidae. The transcript is spliced from 4 exons.